UAUCUCUGUAGAGUCUGCAUAUCAAUAAGCGGAGGAAAAGAAACUAACUAGGAUUCCCUCAGUAACGGCGAGUGAAGCGGGAAGAGCUCAAAUUUGAAAUCUUCAAGGUUCUACCUUGACGAAUUGUAGUUUAAAGAAGUGUUUUCUGUUGGAGUUUUGGUAAAAGUUCUUUGGAAUAGGACAUCAUAGAGGGUGAGAAUCCCGUAUUUGACCAUUACUUCCAGCGUUGUGAUACACUUUCAAAGAGUCGGAUUGUUUGGGAAUGCAGUCCAAAAUGGGUGGUAAAUUUCAUCUAAAGCUAAAUACUGGCGAGAGACCGAUAGCGAACAAGUACCGUGAGGGAAAGAUGAAAAGAACUUUGAAAAGAGAGUUAAACAGUACGUGAAAUUGUCAAAAGGGAAGCGUUUGACACCAGUGUUGUUUUCUCGAAAAUCAAUUAACAAAUGCUUGAUUUUGUAGUUGUAUUAGACCUUAUCAGCUUACUGCUACUCUUUUCUUGAUUCUUUCUUAAUGCACUUUUUGGUUAACAAGUCAACAUCAAUUUCUUUUGUUGUAAAAGAGUCAUUGGAAGGUGGCUUUCACUUCGGUGAAAGUGUUUAUAGCCUUUGGCUUCUGCAAUCGGAGAGAUUGAGGUCUGCAGCGUAGAUCCUUCGGGGCUAGAUACGUAGAUGCUAAGUUAUAGUUUUUUAUAGACAACUUGUUGACUAUAAUUAAUCAUGUAGCUUACUCGUUUGCGCUAUUUUACCUACGCUUAGGAUGUUGAAGAUGUAGCACAUCAU
This 779-nucleotide ribosomal RNA is filed under the name uncultured Neocallimastigales. RNAcentral describes it as "partial large subunit ribosomal RNA". It matches the Rfam family "Eukaryotic large subunit ribosomal RNA", at positions 24 to 643 of the family's 3401-position model. The record is from RNAcentral. Lineage: Eukaryota; Fungi; Neocallimastigomycota; Neocallimastigomycetes; Neocallimastigales.